CCGGCACGGGUGAGUAACACGUAUCCAACCUGCCGUCUACUCUUGGACAGCCUUCUGAAAGGAAGAUUAAUACAAGAUGGCAUCAUGAGUCCGCAUGUUCACAUGAUUAAAGGUGUUCCGGUAGACGAUGGGGAUGCGUUCCAUUAGAUAGUAGGCGGGGUAACGGCCCACCUAGUCUUCGAUGGAUAGGGGUUCUGAGAGGAAGGUCCCCCACAUUGGAACUGAGACACGGUCCAA
Molecule: ribosomal RNA, 237 nt
Filed under: uncultured bacterium
Lineage: Bacteria
Description: partial 16S ribosomal RNA
Rfam family: Bacterial small subunit ribosomal RNA
Source: RNAcentral